RNAcentral lists this ribosomal RNA (437 nucleotides) under uncultured Lachnospiraceae bacterium. Its description in RNAcentral is "partial 16S ribosomal RNA". It matches the Rfam family "Bacterial small subunit ribosomal RNA", at positions 341 to 792 of the family's 1533-position model. Lineage: Bacteria; Bacillati; Bacillota; Clostridia; Lachnospirales; Lachnospiraceae. The record is from RNAcentral.
ACGGAAGGCAGCAGUGGGGAAUAUUGGGCAAUGGGCGCAAGCCUGACCCAGCAACGCCGCGUGAGGGAUGAAGGUUUUCGGAUUGUAAACCUCUGUCCUUGGUGACGAACGCAAUGACGGUAGCCAAGGAGGAAGCCCCGGCUAACUACGUGCCAGCAGCCGCGGUAAUACGUAGGGGGCAAGCGUUAUCCGGAUUUACUGGGUGUAAAGGGAGCGUAGACGGCUUUGCAAGUCUGAAGUGAAAGCCCGGGGCUCAACCCCGGAACUGCUUUGGAAACUGUAGAGCUAGAGUGCAGGAGAGGUAAGUGGAAUUCCUAGUGUAGCGGUGAAAUGCGUAGAUAUUAGGAGGAACACCAGUGGCGAAGGCGGCUUACUGGACUGUAACUGACGUUGAGGCUCGAAGGCGUGGGGAGCAAACAGGACUAGAUACCCUGGUA